Rhincodon typus (whale shark) is the source of this 429-nucleotide long non-coding RNA. RefSeq lists it as uncharacterized. The record is from RefSeq and is a predicted model, not a curated record. Lineage: Eukaryota; Metazoa; Chordata; Chondrichthyes; Orectolobiformes; Rhincodontidae. The transcript is spliced from 2 exons.
UCAGUUAUAGCGCCCGCCGUCACUGGCAAUUCCUAUUGGCCCAAAGGGUAGAGGCGUGCGGCGAACCUUGUUGUGGCGUUUCCUUCUAGUCGGGAAAGAGGCGAUUCACGAAAACCUGGAUCAUUUGUCAAUCAAAUUGUUUAAACCCGCUAUUUGGAAGUUAGGAGUGUUGCGGUUCAAUCUUACUGAAGGGAAAUGGAUGCAUAACAUGCAGGAGAGAUGUCUGAACUGUGAAGAAGUCCUAUUACUGGCAAUCAUGAUGCCAAUUGUGGAGAGUGCAUUUGAAAUUGACAGCCUGGUCUGAUGCCAUACCUCCAAUGAAGGGAGAGAUAAGGAGCCAACAGAGAGUGGGUGAAAGCAUUAUAUGUAAUCACAGAAAUGAAUUUGAGCUGUCCAUUUGAAUCACGAAAAUAAAUUUCACGAUCAGCA